Molecule: ribosomal RNA, 253 nt
Filed under: uncultured bacterium
Lineage: Bacteria
Description: partial 16S ribosomal RNA
Rfam family: Bacterial small subunit ribosomal RNA
Source: RNAcentral
UACGGAGGGAGCUAGCGUUGUUCGGAAUUACUGGGCGUAAAGCGCACGUAGGCGGCUACUCAAGUCAGAGGUGAAAGCCCAGGGCUCAACCUUGGAACUGCCUUUGAAACUAGGUAGCUAGAAUUCUGGAGAGGUCAGUGGAAUUCCGAGUGUAGAGGUGAAAUUCGUAGAUAUUCGGAAGAACACCAGUGGCGAAGGCGGCUGACUGGUCCGGUUCUGACGCUGAGGCGCGAAAGCGUGGGGAGCAAACAGG